Molecule: long non-coding RNA, 822 nt
Organism: Anastrepha ludens (Mexican fruit fly)
Lineage: Eukaryota; Metazoa; Arthropoda; Insecta; Diptera; Tephritidae
Exons: 3
Source: RefSeq, a predicted model, not a curated record
GAUUACGAGCUCGGCGUAGUCAAGGAUUUAUCUAACUAGGAUCCAUCAUUAACAACAACGUCAGCCAAGAGAUCCAGCGAAGAAUAAUUCUUGCCAACGGGUGCUACUUUGGGUUGGGUAGGCAAUUGAAAUACAGAGACCUCUCUCGAUGCACGAAAAAAACGCUCUGUCUUAUGGCGCUGAUUCCUGGAUAUUGACGAAGACUGGUGGCGGGUUAUUAGGAGCUUUCGAGAGCAAAAUCCUUCAAAGAUAUGUGGGCCAAUUUGCGUUAGUGAUGCAUACCGAACCAAGAGCUGUACACCGACAUCGAUGUAGUGAACCGCAUUAAAAUUCCGCGGCUUUGCUGGCUGGUCACGUUGAGCGAAUGGAUAAUAACGCUCCAGCAAAGAAGAUCUUCUACAUCAUCUACAUUGGAAAGACCAAGUCGAUGGCAAUCUGGUCGCCCUUGGCGUUUUUAACUGUCGUCAAUGCAUAGGUGAUUUGCGCAAUAGUUUGGCAGCAGCCAAUACCGACUAUCGGUACCAGGUGCCAGCUAAGUAAGUAGUUAUUCGAUGAUUAUCCAAUCCGAUGUCCUGUAUUAUUUUGACGAUUUCUGGUGUUGUUGGUGUUUUUUGGACGUUCGUGACGUGGAUGGUCUUGAAGGCUGGUACGACCACGUUUAAAUGUAGCAACCCAUCCUUCUACUGUACUAAUUGAUGGCUAAAGAUAAUCCCAUACAGAGAGAGACAAAGCGACGUUUUUAGAAGACCUCCCGGAGAUUGAUCACUAUUUUAAAGAAAACCAAAAAUAUCAAAAUGAUGAUGAUUAUGAUGAUGAAUAAUU